RNAcentral lists this non-coding RNA (23 nucleotides) under Cricetulus griseus (Chinese hamster). The record is from RNAcentral. Lineage: Eukaryota; Metazoa; Chordata; Mammalia; Rodentia; Cricetidae.
UGUUCUGACUGACUCAUGAUGAA